This is a long non-coding RNA of Ahaetulla prasina, 4301 nucleotides long. RefSeq lists it as uncharacterized. NCBI's taxonomy places the organism in Eukaryota, Metazoa, Chordata, Lepidosauria, Squamata, Colubridae. The transcript has 3 exons. The record is from RefSeq and is a predicted model, not a curated record.
UGAAAAUUGUGGAGUACUCUUGUAGCCCAUUGUGCUAAGCAAAGGAUGUGAUGAUGAGGAAGAUUGCCUCUGGGAUUCAGGAUGGGACUUACACAUAUUCUUGGAAAUAAAAACACCAAAAUGGUUGGCAUUUGUGCCUUUGUAGCAGGCAUGUUUCCCAUAUAAUGAUGAUGAUGAUGAUGAUGAUAAUUAAUAAUAAUAUAAUGUGAAGAAAAAUUCAGUAAGGCAAAACAGCCAGGUAUUAUACCAUCUCAAUGGUAUAAUACCUGGCUGUUCAGCUGAAUAUGAGUCAGAAAUGUGAUCAAGCUGCCCAAAAAGCAGAACAGAUAGGAACAGAUUCUAUUUCUUAUAAAUAAAGCUUAAAACUGCACUUUUGGGACAUCCUAUAUAUAAGAUGAUAUAUAUUACUUUGGAAGGCAAAAAGAUUAUUCACUUAUUCAGGGACACUCAUAUGGCACCUACUUGCACAUCCUUAAAGCAGUCGUGGUUUGCAUAACUGUUUGCUGGGGCUGCUAUCCCAUGCCAGAAAAUAUGCAUUUAGUUUAGGGACUUGCACCAAGUGCUGUUUGCAUCUUCAUAUACACCAAAGGAUCUUUUUGCCUUUGAACCUGAGGCAUUGCAGGUAAUGCGUUUCACUGUGUUCUGAGUUGGUAAGAUCUCACCCUUACUAUUGGGUCCAAUUUUAAGCACCAAAUUUUAAGAACGAUUCGGAGAAAGAGAGGGAGACGGUGAGGUGGACAAAAGGGAACUGGAGACUAGGUCUUCUUUGAGGCAAUUUAUUUCAUUUUGAUAACUGACCAUUCAUAGAAUAUUCUAAAUAGCUUACAAGAGUUAAAACUAACAUUAUAAACAACAAUAAAUAUAGCCACACUGUGAGAUAAAAGCCAUGCCAACUCACAAAAGACUAUUUAGAAUCAAGAGUGGUCUCACAGAACAUCUUAGUUUGGAACCAGGGGGAAAAGUCGGGUUUUCUUGAAGGAUGGCUGGGUUGGACUUGUAUGGAUCUCAGGGGAGUGGCAAUGAGAAUAGAGACAGAGGAUGGUUCUUGGAUCCCAUAAGAGAACACUGUCUAAGAUAGUUCUAUGCAAGUAUUUUUUUUUAUUGCUUUAAAGUGCCAAAAUAAUGGAUUUGUUCCAGGAAGGACAAUUCCAGUUAAAUGUUAGGAAAUACAUCUUCACAAUAAAAGGAGUCCAACAAUGGAAUUAAUUACCAAGGAAGGAAAUGAGUUCUCCUCCAAUGCAUGCAAGCAGAGGCAAAACAACCACUGGUAAAGAAUACAUUGCACUGGCAUUAAACUUAGUAUAAAGGACCCCUUCCAACUCAAAGAUUCCAUAUAUCUUCUUUACUUGAGGAAGCAACAGUCUGUCUUGUUAGGAAGAAAAACUGGGCAGAAAAGCAAGAAGAAGCAGAUAGACAAAGCAUGAGGCUUCUCCUUCUCAGCCUUCUGCACAACAGACAGAAACUUAUAAAGGCCUAUAUAUGACUACAAGGGUUGCAGUUUCCUGUAAAACCCGUACGAAAAACCAUGAAAAAAUGGUAGGAUAUGGGGCAGUGUUUUGACUAGGCACUAUGCCACAGGGAAUCUUGUACUAAUGAUUUUGAGGCAUGCACAUUUUAGUGGUCACAUUGUGUAAGGGUGGAAUUGGCUUUCUCAUGUUCCAUCAUUUGUCUUUGAAUAUUCAUGUAGCACAACCAUGUACAAAAAUUUAUUGAUUUCACUAAUAGUGAGGCUAUCAAUACAAUAGCAACAUUCUCAUUAUCCUGAUUCAUUUUUAUUUUAGAAAGAAUUUUUUAAAAAGUAACUAAUUUUAUUUAUUUAUUUGUUUUAUAUGUUUUAUAUAUUUAUUUAUUUAUUUUUAUUUAUUUAUUUGUCACAACAGUAUAUAUAAGCAUAAGCAUGAAAAACUAUACUAUAUAAAGCAUAUAUAUAAUCAUAAGUAUGUAAUAAUUAUAUGAAAUUGGAUACUAUCAAAGGAAACAUUAGGACAGGAACGGUAGGCACGUUGGUGCUCUUAUGCACGCCCCUUACAGACCUCUUGGGAAUGGGGUGAGGUCAAUAGUAGAUAGUUUUUGGUUAAAGCUUUGGGGAUUUUGGGAAGAGAUCACAGAGUCUGGCAGUGCAUUCCAGGCAUUAACAACUCUGUUGCUGAAGUCAUAUUUUCUGCAAUCGAGAUUGGAGCGGUUCACAUUAAGCUUAAAUCUAUUGUGUGCUUGUGUAUUGUUGCGAUUGAAGCUGAAGUAGUCUUCAACAGGAAGGACAUUGUAACAGAUGAUUCUAUGAGUUAAACUCAGGUCCUGUCGAAGGCGGCGAAGUUCUAAAUUUUCUAAACCCAGGAUUUCAAGUCUGGUAGUAUAAGGUAUUUUGUUGUAAUCAGAGGAGUGGAGAACUCUUCUUGUAAAAUAUUUCUGGACACGCUCAAUUGUGUUAAUGUCCGAAAUAAGGUAUGGGUUCCAGACAGGUGAGCUGUAUUCAAGAAUUGGUCUAGCAAAUGUUUUGUAUGCUCCGGUUAGUAGUGUAGAGUUUCUGGAGAAGAAGCUAUGCAAUAUUAAGUUUACAGCUCUUAAAGCCUUUUUUGCGAUGUAGUUGCAGUGGGCUUUGUUACUUAGAACAUUUCAUAUGAAAACUCCAAGGUCUUUAACGGGGUGGGGGUCAUCUACAAGGUAAUGAUCAUCAAGCUUGUAUUUAGUGUUCAGAUUCUUUUUUCCAAUGUGUAAGACAGCAUUUGCUGGUUGAGUUGAAUUGUUGAAUUGUUGUUGAAUUCAACAAUUGUUGAAUUGUUGUUGAAUUGUUGUUGAAUGCUGGUUGAACUGUUACCUAUGAGGAAUUUGCAUUUGAAUGUUUUGAUCCAAGUUUCUAAUUUCCCCUUCUUUCCCUAGUUCUCUAAUACUUGGGUAAAAGUGACACAAUUAAAAAAACAAAAGAAAUGCAGUGACUCAAAAAGCAGUCACAGAACAUAUUCUUCUCAUCAGUUAUUCCCUAUCUACAGACUGAUUUAUGAACAAAAGAAAAGCAAUCUAACAAGGAUGUUACACAUUAAUUGCUUUUUGUUGUUUCAGUUCAGACAUAUUAAAAAUAUAUAGUAAUUUUCAUCUUGCAAGUAGAAAGUUUAGGAACAUGAUGACAGUGUCCUUUUUAUUGUUCCUUAUUCUCAUGUUUUGGAUUUUUUAGUGCAAUAAUGCACUGAGACAGAAGGUAUUUCAGAUGUCAUGUAUGCUGCAUCCAACCUUCAUUAAUCAUAGUGGGGAUGAAUACUAAUCUUUGCUAAUCUUUGUUUGGGCAAAUGGUAGAUUUAUGUGUUCUAGGAUCAGUAAAGAUAGCUACAUCUGGAACUGUAAUUAUUUACAAAAGCCUGGCACUACUUUUUAAUGCUUCGAAUUUCCAUUGCCAAUUCAAUGGAAAUUCCACAGUGCAGAGAAAUAACUGAUCAAACUCUACAUCUUUACCCUGCAGAUUCUACUUCAGAUGAAAAUAAACCUGAUCAAAGGCUAUUCUUCUAUAAUUUAUUUACUGAAUUUACAUUCCACUUUUCCACCAAAGCAUGGCCUCAAAGUGACUGGUAAUCAUUUACAGAAAUAUAUGUUUUAUUGUCUGCCAACAUUUUGAUUUUUUCUCAUCUGCAGAUAUUAUUCUGAAUACCAAUAAUUAGUAACUCUACAUUGGCUGAUAUUUCUUACAACUCUUCUAUAUGGUUGGCAGUGAUGCGGAAGUUCUUUCUUGUCUGAGUAACUGCAUUCAUCCCCAGCAGUCUGUGCAAGUUAGCACUAUUCUAGACACAAGUAAUAUGCCAAAGAUACUCUCUUGAAGAGGAAAAACUGCUGUCCCUUUAAGCUCCAAAAGGAUGCAUUAGGUUAAGGUGCUCCAGGGUUUCAACCUAUGAUGCAGAGAAGUAUGUUCAGAAGUGAGGGAGUACAAGAACAACAGAAAAAAAAAAUCACAUGCAGGAAGAGAUUGAGUGCAUUACUUCCACCGCCUCUUUUACUCUUGACAGCCACUUUCUUAAAGAUGUUUUUCUGAAGGCUGCAUUAUUACUGAUUUUCUUGCUUGCUUGUUUUUCAUAUUUUUGACUGCCUAUUUUCCUUGGAUGAGAUAAUACAUUUAAUGAUUGGGACCCUACUAAUUCACUUGGACACAUGGAUGACUUUGGUAUUUGUCAUGUUUAGGUGAGCAAAAACCUUGUUGGUGAUAUACAAUUGCUCUAAUACUAAUCUGAAAAACCAAGUCUGAAGUUUUAGAAAGAAACAUUAUAAAUGUUAUAAUCUAUGUACAGUUGUCAGUGGGGUGCACAAAGAAUUUGAUGGUG